This 220-nucleotide ribosomal RNA is filed under the name uncultured Glomus. RNAcentral's name for it is "partial small subunit ribosomal RNA". It matches the Rfam family "Eukaryotic small subunit ribosomal RNA", at positions 591 to 817 of the family's 1831-position model. Lineage: Eukaryota; Fungi; Glomeromycota; Glomeromycetes; Glomerales; Glomeraceae. The record is from RNAcentral.
CCAAUAGCGUAUAUUAAAGUUGUUGCAGUUAAAAAGCUCGUAGUUGAAUUUCGGGAUCAGUAUGUUGGUCGUGCUUCGGUACGUACUGUCAUUACUGGUUUCUCCCUUCUGAAGAACCUUGAUGUCAUUAAUUUGGUGUCUUGGGGAAUCAGGACUGUUACUUUGAAAAAAUUAGAGUGUUUAAAGCAGGCAUACGCUUGAAUACAUUAGCAUGGAAUAA